CUUCUAUCUGGAAUUCCCUUUUCUCCCUGUCCAACUGGCUAACUUCAAUUUAGUCUUUAAAUACCAUCUGUCCAGUGAACGUCAAGGUUGAAGUGUCCACUGACCAAUCCCCUGUAGACAGUCCCCAUCCCACAGACCUGGACACCCGUAAAGUCCCUGGAACAGCCUUGGAAGACUUGGGUAAGAAUGGGGCUUAAGGGAAGCCCUAUCUGGGGAAGUGAUGGAGUCACAAGUAUGCUUAAUGUUACAUAUGUCAAAUAUAUGUUGAAUGGAAUGUUUAAAAUUUCUUAAUAUUGCUGCAUGAUUCAAGAGACAAUGGGUGAGUGUACUCCUACAUGACUAAAAUUUGGUGGGUUUUAAACCUCUUUUGAUCACCCUCUUGCACCAAAGACUCACAGACGAAACAUAAACAAAAAUUUUUGAAAAAUACUCAUCUUUAACAUGUGAAAUGUAUUCUGGCAUUGUGUAGCUUAUUGUAGUCAAUACCACUUUUUAAAAAUACUGAUCAAACCCUAGAAAUGUAUCAUCUUAUACAUAGUUUGAAAGACCCCAAACUGAACAAUAUUUGUUGACAAAUGCUUGCAAACAUCGUCAAAGAAUCAAAGUAUUAACCAAAACUGCACCCAAAGUUUAGUUAGUUUUUUGGCCAUUUCCACUUUCAUGUUGUUUCUCUCCAUUUUCAGUAACUUAUUUGCCCAAGUAGGGGCAGAAAUUCCUGUCUGAAAGUAGGAUGACAUCAGGUCAAAACCACAGGAUGUGUGCUGAGACAGAAACCAGAACAGCCAGCCAUCCGGGAGUUGGGACUGUCUUAGCCAAUUUUAGAUAUUUGGUCACCUUAUCUGAGACUACGUGUAAACUCACCUAUUUCAGUUUCUCAGAAGGCAGCUCUUACUGUGUAAUUCAAAAAGAGUUUUUUCUGCAUUCUUUAAUGGUUUGGGUUAAUUUUAAACAAGGGUUUAUGAAAUGUGAGCUGGUGCCAGAAAAAUGUGGAUUAAUUUUUGCUGCUUCCCUAGAGAAAGUAGUGGUGUUUUUAAUAAUAGAUUCUAGUAAAGUGUCUACAUAUUUUUUUGAGGACUUAAAAGACAAAGCAAAAUAUGGGUUGAAUAGAGGUUUUUCAGUGUGUGUGUAGACUAAAUUGCACAUGGCCUGAAUGAGAAAAAAUGUUAGUAGAGACUUUUUUUGCAACAGUUCACUAUUUAGGUGACCUCAAAAGAAAAGGAAUUGAUUAUAUGGAUAUUGUAUCAUUGAGGAUUAAUGCUAUCUGCAUGUGACAGAAAUCCAAAAUAGUGGGGAAUAAUGGUCUUAUCUCAACUAAGAUAGUAUUUAGCUCUCUUGUAAAAGAGGUAGAUAGUCCAGAACCAGCAUGGCUCCAUGAUGACAAAGGACCAGGAUGCCUAUUGUUGCUUACUACUGGUGUUUCUGUCGAUGCAUUCAAAUUCUAGAAAUCUGAAAGUAGAAGGGAGGAGACAUUGCAUGCCCCCUCUCUUUAAGGAUAUGUCCAGCAAAUUGCAUACACUACAUCCCCUUAUAGGCUAUUAAACAGAAUAUAAUCAUAUGACUAUAAUUAGCUCCAUGGAAGGUUGGGAGAUGUAAUCUUUAUACCAGGAAACCAUGUACUCAGCUAAACAGUGGAGGGUCUGUUACAUGGGAAGAUGGCAAGGAUAGAUACUAGGAAAACAAGCGGUUUCUCCCACAAGUAUCCAUGGCCUUGGAUAAAAAUAAAAAAUAAUAACAAUAAUAAAAAAACACUUUAAGCUCCAUUUCUGCAGUCUUUGCCUCUCCUUCUCAAUAGUCAGACUUCUUCUUGUUCUUUAAUCUGUGGUUAAAGGGAAUUACAAAGACCUCUAGUCAACUCAGCUUAGUUGAUUACUUUGCCCCUACAUGGCAGAGCCUGCCAUGCUAGGACAGCAUGUGGAUGGCUGGAACUAGAGCCAAUCAAACCCUAACCACAAGGCCAGGAAACAGGGUCUAGCCAGGAAUCAGAAAGAGGGAAAUGAAUGCUGGGGAAGUAAUCAAUAAAUAGCUUAUCACAAUGUCUAAAAGGCAGAUCUAAGUUAACAUGAUCAAAUCAAAAUUCUUGAUUUCUCUCCCAAAUUCCACCUCCAGAUGCACUACCAUCCAUAGUAUUGUUUAAUCCUUGAGCUUCUUUUUCCUUCACUUUUCAUAGACGAUCAGGAUUUGCUACACGUUAUGUGGGGCCCAAUAAAAAAUAAAUUUGCAGGGACCCACAUUGAAAAAUUAUCAAGAAUUUCAAGACAGCAACAGCAGAGCAUUAAACCAACUGUGGAGUCCUUCCAAGGGUGGGGCUUGAUACAACUACACAUGAAGGCACCCAAUAUAUAACUAUCAUGAGAUAAUAUAAAAAAACGUAUAUUGGUCUCUGUCUCCAGUUCCCGGCACACAGCUCCCAAAACUCAUAUAAAUUCCUAAGAGAUAGGAGUACUACAAGCAUCUUUUGUUCUAACGAGGUGACUCUGAGUGUGUUUCUGGAUAGCUCUUGGAUGAGGACUGGUCACUGGAAAGACCAAGUCAUGAUUAGAAGCUUGGGAUUUUCAGCCCUAGUACUGAGGGCCGAGAGGCAAAAGGGCUGAAAGUAGAAUUAAUGAUUGAUCAGUCAUGCCAACAUGAUAAAGCCUCUCUAAAAUCCUAGAAGUAUGGGGUUUAGAGAGCUGCCAAGUGGGUGUACACAUCCAUAUCGGGAGGGUUACAUACUCCAGCUCCAUGAGGACAGAAGCUCCUUCACUAAGGGACCUCCCAGACUUUGCCCCAGAUAGCUCUUGAUCUGAUUGUUCAUUUUCUCAUUUAUCAUAUCCACUAAUAAACCGGUAAAUGUAUGUAAGCAUUUCCCUGAGUUCUGUGAGCCACCCAGGUGCCCUCAAAACAUUUCUUAAUUGGUAAACUUCUCUCCAUCUCCAUGAUGACAUCCUAUAUCUUUGGUCCUGAACUAAAUGGUAUUGGUCUCUUAACAAGUGUACCAGCUUUCACUUUUGUCCCUGCUUCAGUGGUGUUCAAUCAGGGAAGCAGAACCACGAGGAAGGAUACACACACACACACACACACACACACACACAAUACAUAUAUAACACACAUCAAAAUAUAUUUAAAAUAUAUUUAAAUAUAUAAAAUGUAUUUAUAUAAAUAUAUUAAAAUACAUAAGCAUUUGACUCCAAGUGAAAAAAAUAAGAACAAAAAGUACAAUAUAUUGAGCACCAAAUAUACUGUAGACAUUGUAUUACAUAUUUUAUAUUAUGGCACAAUAGAAAAAAUAUAGGUUUUGGAGUCAAGACAAAUCUGGAUUUGAAACCUACUCCCACACUCACUAGCUGCAUGACUUUGACAAGUCAACUAAACUCUAAGUCUUUAUGUUUCCUAAUGCAUAAAUAGGGACAAAAAUAUUUCCUUUCAAAGUUCUUGAGAAGAUUAAGAAAUUAGAAAGGAAUCACAAGGAUACUUACUAGGUUUGAGAGAAGAAUAGAAGACAUCAGUGAGACCCUUACCACAGAGAUAAAAGACUUAAAGAAGAAUCAAUCAGAGAUGAAGAGUACAAUAAAUGAGAUUGGAAACAGGCUUGAUGCAAUGAAUAGCAGGCUGGAAGAAGCAGAGGAAUGAAUUAGUAACCUAGAAGACAAAAUAAUGGAAAAUAAUAAAGAACAAAAGAGAGAAGAAUUAUGCAACAUGAGAAUAGACUUAGAGACCUCAGUCACUCCAUCAAAUGUAAUAAUGUUUGUAUUAUAGGAGUCCAAAAAGAAGAGAGAGAAAAGAAGGCAGAAAAUUUCUUUCAAGUAAUAAUAGCUGAAAAUUUCCCUAGGAGACAGAGAACUACCAUCAAAAUAACACAACAGGCCAACACCAACACAAAAACAAGAAAAAAAUCUUAAAAGCAGCAAAACAAAAGAAGUCCUUAACCUACAAGGGAAAAUCCAUAAAGCUAGCUAGAGAUCUCUGAACAGAAAUUUGUCAAGCUAGAAGACAGUGGCAUUAUAUAUUCAAAGUGCUAAAUGGGAACAAUCUGCAGCCAAGAAUACUCUACCCAAUGAUAGCAAGGCUAUCAUUCAGAAUAGGAGAGAUAAAGAGUGUCCCAGACAAACACAAACUAAAGGAGUUCAUGACCACUACACCAGCCCUGCAAGAAAUUUUUUUUUUUAAUUUUUCUUAAUGUUUACUUAUUUUAGAGAGAGACAGAGUGGGAGCAGGCGAGGGAAGAGAAAGAGGGGAGACAUAGAAUCCAAAGCAGGCACCAGGCUCUGAACUGUCAGCACAGAGUCCAACGUGGGACUCAAACCCAUGAUUGGUGAGAUUAUGAACUGACACUUAACUGACUGAGCCACCCAGGCACCCCAGCCCUGCAAGAAAUAUUAAAGGGGGCUCUUUGAGUGCAAAGGAGAGACCAAAAGUGACAAAGACAAGAACGGAUCAGAGAAAAUCUCCAGAAACAAUGACAAAACAAGUAAUAAAAAUGGCACUAAAUACAUCUAUCAAUAAUUACUUGGAAUAUAAAUGUACUAACUGCUCCAAUCAAAAGACAUAGGGUGUCAGAAUGCAUAGAAAAAACAAGACCCAUCUAAAUGCUAUCUACAAAAGACUGUAGACCUAAAGACACCUACAGGUUGAAAGUGAAGGGUGGAGAAACAUUUAUGAUGCAAAUGAAUGUCAAAAGAAAGCCAGAGUAGCAACACUCAUAUGGGACAAACUAGACGUUUUCGUUCUUGUAUUGUUUUUUUAUCAUGAUUUUGUUUCAGGGUAGUACUGGCUUUAUAGAAUGAUUUUGAAUGUGCUCCCUCUAUUCUAUUAUUUGUAAAAUUUUGAUCAAUAUUAUCAUUAAUUAUUUUUUGAAAUGUUUGGUGGAAUUCACCACUGAAAUCAUGUAGUCUCGGGCUUUGCUGUGCUGGGAGAUUUUUUAUUCCUAAUUCAACUUUCAUUCUUGUUAUUGGUCUAAGAAGAUUCCCUAUUUCUUGGAUUCAAAAUUCAUGAUUCAAUCUUGGUAACUUAUAUGACUUUAGCAAUUAUCUGGAUUUUUUUCCCUAAGUUAUCUGAUUUGUUAGUGCAUAACUUUAUAGUAAUUUAUUAUCACACUAUGUAUUUUUGUGGUAUCUAUUGUAUUGUUUUCUAUUUCCUAUUUUAGUUUUUGAGUCUUCUUGUUUUGUCUUAGUUAAUGUAGUUAAAGUAUUGCCAAUUUUGUUUAUUUUUUUUGGAAAAAAGCAGUCAUUUCUUUCUUUCAAUGUUAGGUUAUUGUUUAUCCUGGUUUCUAUUUUAUUUAUUUCUGAUUUUUCUUUGUAAUUUCCUUCCUCUACUAAAUUUCAGAUAAGUUUCUUCUUUUUCUAGUUUCUUGUGGUGUAAUGUUUAUUUGAACUUUUUUCUUAAUACAGAAUUUAUAGCAUAAAAAAAUUAAAAUAGAAUUAUGAUAUGAUCUAGUAAUUCCACUACUAGGUAUUUACCCAAAGAAAAUAAAAAUACUAACUCAAAAAGGUAUAUGCACCCUUAUAUUUACUACAGCAUUAUUUACAAUAGCCAAGAUAUGGAAGCAACCCAAGUGUCCAUCAAUAGAUGAAUAGAUAAAGAAGUUGUGGUAUAUGUAAAAAUAUGGAAUAUUACUCAGCCAUAAAGAAGAAUGAGAUCUUGCCAUUUGCAACAAUAUGAAGGGAUCUAUAGGGUAUAAUGCCAAGUGCAGUAAGUCAGUCAGAGAAAGACAAAUACCAUAUCAUUUCACUCAUAUAUGGAAUUUUAAGAAACAAAAUAAAUGAACAAACAAAAAAAAGAGACAAACAGGGCAUUGUGGGUGGCUCAGUUGGUUAGGUGUCCGACUUUGGCUCAGGUCAUGAUUUCAUGGUUCGUGGGUUCGAGCCCUGCAUUAGGCUCUGGGCUGACAGCUCAGAGCCUGGAGCCUGCUUCGGAUUCUGUGUCUCCCUCUCUCUCUGCCCCUCUCCCACUCACGCUCUUUCUUUCAAAAAUAAAUAUUUUUUUAAAAAUGAGAGACAAAAAAAUCAGACUCUUAAACACAGAGAAGAAAUGAUGAUUACCAGAGGGGGGUGGGGGGAAUGAGUGAACUAGGUAAAGGGGAUUAAGGGUACACUUACCUUGAUGAGCACUGAGUAAUGUAUAGAGUUGAUGAAUCACUAUACUGCAUACCUAAAACUAACAUAACACUGUAUGUUAACUAUACUGGAAUUAAAAAAUCAAAGGCUUUGAAGAAAAGUUAGGACAUUUGAGUUUUCUUCCACAAAAAAAUGGGUAACUCGAGAUAUUUUUAAAUAGAGGAUUGACACGAUUUAAUUGGGGUGUAGUAAGACCACUCUAGUUUCUGAGUAAAACAUGGAGGGAAGAGAAAAAAAUUUGGAUUUGGCAAAUUCCAAAUGAGGCUUUGUUGGAAAAAUCCAGGACACAGAGAGAGAAAAUGAUGAUCAUAUUUUAAUGUGAAACAUGUGAAUGAAUUUAAAGGAUAUUCAGAGGACAUAAUCAAUAAUAAAUGAAUUUUGGUUCAUGUUGAUUGUGAAGUUUCAGUGGGAUAGCCAGGAGGAGUUACCAAAUACAGAGUAGGCCAUGUGGGACAGAGAAAGAAUUGGGAGUAGAGCUUCAGAUGUGAGAAUCUCGGGCAUACAGAUGGUUUUCAAAUUUAUGAGCUUACUGUGUGCUAAACAAACCUAAUAAAGUUCUGUUCUUUAAAAAAUAUACAGAUAUAUAAUAAAUAUUUAUAUAAAAUAACACAUAUUUCAAAUAUAAAAUAUAAUUUAAAUAUACAAAAUAUAUAUCACAUAUUAAAUACAUAAAAUGUAUUUAUAUAAAUAUAUUAAAAUAUAUACACAUUAUAUAACUAUAUAAAUAUUUACAUAUAGAUACAUAAUAAAUAUAAAGUAUAUAAAUAAAUUCCUAUAUAUGUAUAUAUUAUAUAUACAUGAGUUUGUUAUAGGGCUUUGGCCUCACACAACUAUAGAAGCUGAUAAAACAGUGUAUGUGCCCCACACCCCCCCCCAGGCUCUGGCACUUAAAAGGGACAAUGAAUAUGAAGGAGGAGAAGGAGAUGUGAGAAUCAACUGGAAUCUGGAGGGUAAGCUUCUACACAGCUACAAGGAUGGACUGGAAUCGGAAAGACUGUCAGUCUCUCAUCACUUCCAAUCCUCCAACUUGGAUGAGGGCAUGUGUCCCACAGGAGAAGCUGAUGCCCUUAGUCAUGGGACUGAAUAUGCUCUUGGCCCAGGACUUCGAGAAGCUGAAGGAUAAAAUUUGGCAGGAGCUGAAGGAGCUGUGGGCCAGAUGUUGCCCCAGGCCAGGAGGGUGAGUCAGCAGAUUACAACAAUGUAAAUCUACUGCAAGAGUGCCUGUGCUCUGCUCCCAUCUUCCAAGUGUAAAAACAAUAGGCUACUGCUUCUUUCUACCUUCCAAAUAGUGUACAGAAUUGUACUUGUGGCUGCCUGGGUGGUUCAGCCAGUUAAGCAUCAGACUUGGUUUCAGCUCAGGUCGUAAUCUCACAACUCAUUGGUUCAAGCCCUGCCAUCGGGCUCUGGGCUGACAAUGUGCAGACUACUUUGAUUCUGUCUCUCUCCUCUCUCUCUGCCACCCCCCCACUAAUGCUCUCUGUCUCAAAAAUAAACAUUAAAAAAAAAAAAAAAAACUCAGAGAAAGACAAAUAUCAUAUGACUUCAUUCACAUGAGAAAUUUAAGAUACAAAACAGAUGAACGUAAGGGAAGGGAAGCAAAAAUAAUAUAAAAACAGGGAGGCGAACAAAACAAAAGAUUCUUAAAUAAGGAGAACAAACAGAGGGUUACUGGAGAGGUUGUGGGAGGGGGGAUGGGCUAGAUGGGUAAGGGGCAUUAAGGAAUCUACUCCUGAAAUCAUUGUUGCACUAUAUGCUAACUAGCUUGAAUGUAAAUUAAAAACAAAAAGCAAACAAAAAAAUCUUUUUGUGAGGCUUGACAACUCUGAGCCAUGCAGGGAAGGGAAUUCUGGGAAACUUAAUUCCAGCUUAGCUAAAUUGACACAAUGCAAUCUCUCCAUACUCCUUCAAUUAACUCAACUUGCUGUAUGUAUCAUUUAAAAAUUCAAAUCAGACCUUCUUAAACCCUUCCAAGUGCUUUCCCUUGCAUCUGGAAUAAAACCCAAACCCUUUACCAUGGUCUACAAGGCUACACAAGAUCUGACUCCUCUGUUCUCUGAGCUCAUUUAAUUUUGUAACACUUCCUCCUUGAAUGUCAUUUCAGAGCCCCUGGCCUCCUACCAGUUCCUGAAUCACAGCGAGAUCAUGCCUGUCUGAGGACCUUUGCACCAGCUGGAUCAAUUACUUGCAACACCCUUCCCAUUGAUGGAUCUUCAUAUCACUAGCUCUUUCUUAUUAUUCAGGUUUCAGCUCGAUGUCAUCUCUUUGAUGCAAUUUUGGAGUGGUGGUGGGUCUCUAG
RNAcentral lists this long non-coding RNA (8388 nucleotides) under Lynx pardinus (Iberian lynx). The record is from RNAcentral. Lineage: Eukaryota; Metazoa; Chordata; Mammalia; Carnivora; Felidae.